Molecule: ribosomal RNA, 732 nt
Filed under: Cryobacterium sp.
Lineage: Bacteria; Bacillati; Actinomycetota; Actinomycetes; Micrococcales; Microbacteriaceae
Description: bacterial SSU rRNA
Rfam family: Bacterial small subunit ribosomal RNA
Source: RNAcentral
CUGACGUGUGAAUAGAGGAGCUUGCUUCUCUGAUCAGUGGCGAACGGGUGAGUAACACGUGAGCAAUCUGCCCUUGACUCUGGGAUAAGCGUUGGAAACGACGUCUAAUACCGGAUACGACCCUUGGAGGCAUCUCUGGGGGUGGAAAGAAUUUUGGUCAAGGAUGAGCUCGCGGCCUAUCAGCUAGUUGGUGAGGUAAUGGCUCACCAAGGCGACGACGGGUAGCCGGCCUGAGAGGGUGACCGGCCACACUGGGACUGAGACACGGCCCAGACUCCUACGGGAGGCAGCAGUGGGGAAUAUUGCACAAUGGGCGAAAGCCUGAUGCAGCAACGCCGCGUGAGGGACGACGGCCUUCGGGUUGUAAACCUCUUUUAGUAGGGAAGAAGCGAUGUGCUUGCCACAAAGUGACGGUACCUGCACAAAAAGCACCGGCUAACUACGUGCCAGCCGCCGCGGGAAUACGUAGGGUGCAAUCGUUGUCCGGAAUUAUUGGGCGUAAAGAGCUCCUAGGCGGUUUGUCACGUCUGCUGUGAAAACCCGAGGCUCAACCUCGGGCCUGCAGAGGGUACUGCCAUACUAGAGUGCGGUAUUGGAGAUUGAAAUUCCUGGUGUACCGAUGUAAUGCGCAUAUAUCAUGAGGAACGCCAAUGGCGAAGGCAGAUCUCUGGGUCAUAACUGACGCUGAGGAGCGAAAACAUGGGGAGCUAACCUGAUUAUAUACCCUGGUAG